AGUGAACGCUGGCGGCGUGCUUAACACAUGCAAGUCGAGCGAGAUUCAACAGCGUAUCGUUGAGUCUAGCGGCAGACGGGUGAGUAAUACUUGGGACAAUCUGCCCUUGAGUGGGGGACAACCUGCCGAAAGGCGGGCUAAUACCCCAUAAGACCACAGGGUGACAUCAUCUAGAGGUCAAAGCUCCGCAAGGGGCGCUUGAGGAGGAGCCCGAGUCCAUCAUGGUAGUUGGUGAGGUAACGGCUCACCAAGCCUUUGACGGGUAGCGGCCUGAAGGGUGACCGGCCACACUGGCACUGAGACACGGGCCAGACUCCUACGGGAGGCAGCAGUGGGAAUUUUGGACAAUGGGGCAACCCUGAUCCAGCGACGCCGCGUGGAGGACGAAGGUCUUCGGAUUGUAAACUCCUUUUGGAGGGGUAAGAAUGCCUGAGUGAAUAACUCAGGGUGACGGUACUCUCUGAAUAAGCCACGGCUAACUACGUGCCAGCAGCC
RNAcentral lists this ribosomal RNA (495 nucleotides) under uncultured bacterium. RNAcentral describes it as "bacterial SSU rRNA". It matches the Rfam family "Bacterial small subunit ribosomal RNA", at positions 29 to 516 of the family's 1533-position model. The record is from RNAcentral.